This 333-nucleotide long non-coding RNA is filed under the name Mytilus galloprovincialis (Mediterranean mussel). The record is from RNAcentral. Lineage: Eukaryota; Metazoa; Mollusca; Bivalvia; Mytilida; Mytilidae.
CUAUAGGGACAACAUAUAUCAUACAAACCACUUAAAAGAAACUGUUAAUUGUUAUAACCUACAAGGUAAACUACAAUGGACAUUUCAUAACGAAAGCAUUCUGAGGUGUCCUCAUGGUAUUGAUGUAGAUAAUGAUGGUAAUGUGUACGUGGUGGGGUACAAAUCGAACAACGUUGUAGUUAUUUCCCCUGAUGGUCAACAACAUAGAGAAAUAUUGACAACAAGUGAUGGUCUUAGUAGUCCUGUGUCACUUCAUUAUAGUGGAUCAAACAAUCAGUUGCUUGUCGCUAACACCAAAAACGACAUGGCAUUUUUGUUUAAUUGUAAUUGAAA